GUUCCUAUAGCGCAAUGGAUAGCGCAUUGGACUUCUUGUUCAAAGAUCAUGGGUUCAAAUCCCAUCUGGGAUG
Non-coding RNA from Trichonephila clavata, 73 nucleotides. Lineage: Eukaryota; Metazoa; Arthropoda; Arachnida; Araneae; Nephilidae. The record is from the annotation of a GenBank genome assembly.